RNAcentral lists this ribosomal RNA (482 nucleotides) under Bacillus velezensis. RNAcentral's name for it is "bacterial SSU rRNA". It matches the Rfam family "Bacterial small subunit ribosomal RNA", at positions 57 to 521 of the family's 1533-position model. Lineage: Bacteria; Bacillati; Bacillota; Bacilli; Caryophanales; Bacillaceae. The record is from RNAcentral.
GCAAGUCGAGCGGACAGAUGGGAGCUUGCUCCCUGAUGUUAGCGGCGGACGGGUGAGUAACACGUGGGUAACCUGCCUGUAAGACUGGGAUAACUCCGGGAAACCGGGGCUAAUACCGGAUGGUUGUUUGAACCGCAUGGUUCAGACAUAAAAGGUGGCUUCGGCUACCACUUACAGAUGGACCCGCGGCGCAUUAGCUAGUUGGUGAGGUAACGGCUCACCAAGGCAACGAUGCGUAGCCGACCUGAGAGGGUGAUCGGCCACACUGGGACUGAGACACGGCCCAGACUCCUACGGGAGGCAGCAGUAGGGAAUCUUCCGCAAUGGACGAAAGUCUGACGGAGCAACGCCGCGUGAGUGAUGAAGGUUUUCGGAUCGUAAAGCUCUGUUGUUAGGGAAGAACAAGUGCCGUUCAAAUAGGGCGGCACCUUGACGGUACCUAACCAGAAAGCCACGGCUAACUACGUGCCAGCAGCCGCGGU